This 566-nucleotide ribosomal RNA is filed under the name uncultured bacterium. Its description in RNAcentral is "partial 16S ribosomal RNA". It matches the Rfam family "Bacterial small subunit ribosomal RNA", at positions 355 to 913 of the family's 1533-position model. The record is from RNAcentral.
UGGGGAAUUUUGGACAAUGGGCGAAAGCCUGAUCCAGCAAUGCCGCGUGUGUGAAGAAGGCCUUCGGGUUGUAAAGCACUUUUGUCCGGAAAGAAAUCCUUGGCUCUAAUACAGUCGGGGGAUGACGGUACCGGAAGAAUAAGCACCGGCUAACUACGUGCCAGCAGCCGCGGUAAUACGUAGGGUGCAAGCGUUAAUCGGAAUUACUGGGCGUAAAGCGUGCGCAGGCGGUUUGCUAAGACCGAUGUGAAAUCCCCGGGCUCAACCUGGGAACUGCAUUGGUGACUGGCGGGCUAGAGUAUGGCAGAGGGGGGUAGAAUUCCACGUGUAGCAGUGAAAUGCGUAGAGAUGUGGAGGAAUACCGAUGGCGAAGGCAGCCCCCUGGGCCAAUACUGACGCUCAUGCACGAAAGCGUGGGGAGCAAACAGGAUUAGAUACCCUGGUAGUCCACGCCCUAAACGAUGUCAACUAGUUGUUGGGGAUUCAUUUCCUUAGUAACGUAGCUAACGCGUGAAGUUGACCGCCUGGGGAGUAACGGUCGCAAGAUUAAAACUUAAAUGAAUUGA